This 253-nucleotide ribosomal RNA is filed under the name uncultured bacterium. RNAcentral's name for it is "partial 16S ribosomal RNA". It matches the Rfam family "Bacterial small subunit ribosomal RNA", at positions 524 to 776 of the family's 1533-position model. The record is from RNAcentral.
UACGAAGGGGGCUAGCGUUGCUCGGAAUCACUGGGCGUAAAGCGCACGUAGGCGGCUUUCUAAGUCAGGGGUGAAAUCCUGGAGCUCAACUCCAGAACUGCCUUUGAUACUGGAAAGCUCGAGUCCGGAAGAGGUGAGUGGAACUGCGAGUGUAGAGGUGAAAUUCGUAGAUAUUCGCAAGAACACCAGUGGCGAAGGCGGCUCACUGGUCCGGUACUGACGCUGAGGUGCGAAAGCGUGGGGAGCAAACAGG